This 301-nucleotide ribosomal RNA is filed under the name uncultured bacterium. RNAcentral describes it as "partial 16S ribosomal RNA". It matches the Rfam family "Bacterial small subunit ribosomal RNA", at positions 509 to 807 of the family's 1533-position model. The record is from RNAcentral.
CAGUAGCCACGGGAAUACAGAGGGUGCGAGCGUUAAUCGGAAUUACUGGGCGUAAAGCGUGCGUAGGCGGCUUCUUAAGUCGGAUGUGAAAUCCCUGAGCUUAACUUAGGAAUUGCAUUCGAUACUGGGAAGCUAGAGUAUGGGAGAGGAUGGUAGAAUUCCAGGUGUAGCGGUGAAAUGCGUAGAUAUCGGAAGGAACACCUGUGGCGAAAGCGGCUCACUGGACCAUUACUGACGCUGAGGCGCGAAAGCUAGGGGAGCAAACAGGAUUAGAUACCCCGGUAGUCCCUGUCUCUUAUAC